UACGUAGGUGGCAAGCGUUGACCGGAAUUAUUGGGCGUAAAGCGCGCGCAGGCGGCUCCUUAAGCCCGAUGUGAAAGCCCACGGCUCAACCGUGGAGGGUCAUUGGGAACUGUGGGACUUGAGUGCAGAAGAGGAAAGUAGAAUUCCAUGUGUAGCGGUGAAAUGCGUAGAGAUGUGGAGGAACACCAGUGGCGAAGGCGACUUUCUGGUCUGUAACUGACGCUGAGGCGCGAAAGCGUGGGGAGCAAACAGG
This 253-nucleotide unclassified non-coding RNA is filed under the name uncultured Caryophanaceae bacterium. RNAcentral's name for it is "uncultured Planococcaceae bacterium contains 16S-23S intergenic spacer region". It matches the Rfam family "Bacterial small subunit ribosomal RNA", at positions 524 to 776 of the family's 1533-position model. The record is from RNAcentral. Lineage: Bacteria; Bacillati; Bacillota; Bacilli; Caryophanales; Caryophanaceae.